This 408-nucleotide long non-coding RNA is filed under the name Lathyrus oleraceus (garden pea). RNAcentral's name for it is "Pisum sativum (pea) long non-coding RNA (PSAT_LNC039143)". Lineage: Eukaryota; Viridiplantae; Streptophyta; Magnoliopsida; Fabales; Fabaceae. The record is from RNAcentral.
AACCCUCACUCUACCAACUGGUUUUGUAGGGAUGAGUUAGGUCCAACCACACAUUCUUAACAUGGUAUCAGAGCCUUGUUUAAGAUCCGGUGGGCCACCUACUAUGGUUUCCAUUAUCGGGCCACCCUCCAGAUGUCCAGUCCUGGGCGUGAGGGGGUGUGUUAAGAGUCCCACAUCGGACAAUAUAUGGCCUAAACAUUGGGACAACCAACCGGUUUUGUAGGUAUGAUGAGAUAGCAAGAAAUACCAGAUACUAAACCGGUUUUGUAGGUAUGAUGAGAUAGCAAGAAAUACCAGAUACUAAACUAGUCUUUUUAAACAUAUGAGCUUAUUAGCUAUAAGCCAUAAAUUAUAAACUCAAAAACCGACACUAACAAACAGAGCCUAAGUCUGAUCAAAUAAUGAAUU